AAAAAAUGCUCUUUCAGAAAACAUUUUGGUGUUUUAUAAGAUGCUGCUUUUAUAAGAUGAUGCCGGGGAAGGUUUUCCGGUUUAUCCCGGAGGGCUUGUAGCUCAGUUGGUUAGAGCGCGCGCUUGAUAAGCGUGAGGUCGGAGGUUCAAGUCCUCCCAGGCCCACCAAUUUAUCUGUUAAUUUAUAAGCGCUGGUGAAACUUGCUUAUAUGGAUCUUGCCUAUCAAUUUGUAAGAAACUUACUUAUCUUACGGGAUGAUUUACUUAUAAAAGGCUUUCUUAUGAAUUUAUUUAUAAAAAGUGUGGCUACCUCUUUGGUUUAAGCAAUGCGAAGUUAAAGCAGUUCAACAGCAAAAGUGAUCCCAAUUUAAGAUCUGAAAUUUAAAAGUUUCAAAUGCGUUAUCCUGUUUUUAGGGGCCGUAGCUCAGCUGGGAGAGCACCUGCUUUGCAAGCAGGGGGUCGUCGGUUCGAUCCCGUCCGGCUCCACCAAUUUGAUCAUCAUCAUUGUUGUGAGAACAAAUUUUGUGAGAGGUUCAAUAAUCUUUCGCUUGUUCUAUUGAAAUUGUGAAGAGAAGA
RNAcentral lists this transfer RNA (576 nucleotides) under Bartonella alsatica. RNAcentral describes it as "partial 16S-23S ribosomal RNA intergenic spacer". The stretch from base 92 to 165 matches the Rfam family "tRNA". The record is from RNAcentral. Lineage: Bacteria; Pseudomonadati; Pseudomonadota; Alphaproteobacteria; Hyphomicrobiales; Bartonellaceae.